AAACCAUCCUGCAAGGAAAUUACUCAUUAAAAUGCAUCUCUCAGCACUAUUCCUUUUCCCUAAGUGUCCCCAGCCUCCGUUUUUCUCCAGUGUCCUUUGGUACCUGUUCCUUACCUCCCCCUCAAUUUUUCUCCCCAAGUCUGAGCUGAAGUCUGCCCUCUUCUUUUCAAGUCUUAUCUUCCCUAGGGUUCGUUAGUCUGGUUCUGUAGUCAUGGCUAAAGGG
RNAcentral lists this long non-coding RNA (223 nucleotides) under Marmota monax (woodchuck). The record is from RNAcentral. Lineage: Eukaryota; Metazoa; Chordata; Mammalia; Rodentia; Sciuridae.